GAGGAACGCUGGCGGCGUGCCUAAUACAUGCCAGUCGAGCGAACAGACGAGGAGCUUGCUCCUCUGACGUUAGCGGCGGACGGGUGAGUAACACGUGGAUAACCUACCUAUAGGACUGGGAUAACUUCGGGAAACCGGAGCUAAUACCGGAUAAUAUAUUGAACCGCGUGGUUCAAUAGUGAAAGACGGUUUUGCUGUCACUUAUAGAUGGAUCCGCGCCGCAUUAGCUAGUUGGUAAGGUAACGGCUUACCAAGGCAACGAUGCGUAGCCGACCUGAGAGGGUGAUCGGCCACACUGGAACUGAGACACGGUCCAGACUCCUACGGGAGGCAGCAGUAGGGAAUCUUCCGCAAUGGGCGAAAGCCCGACGGAGCAACGCCGCGUGAGUGAUGAAGGUCUUCGGAUCGUAAAACUCUGUUAUUAGGGAAGAACAAAUGUGUAAGUAACUAUGCACGUCUUGACGGUACCUAAUCAGAAAGCCACGGCUAACUACGUG
RNAcentral lists this ribosomal RNA (497 nucleotides) under uncultured bacterium. Its description in RNAcentral is "partial 16S ribosomal RNA". It matches the Rfam family "Bacterial small subunit ribosomal RNA", at positions 28 to 507 of the family's 1533-position model. The record is from RNAcentral.